Long non-coding RNA from Petromyzon marinus (sea lamprey), 1108 nucleotides. RefSeq lists it as uncharacterized. The record is from RefSeq and is a predicted model, not a curated record. Lineage: Eukaryota; Metazoa; Chordata; Hyperoartia; Petromyzontiformes; Petromyzontidae.
AUAGACAAAAGGCCUUGAAAACAACUCCCCCCCCCAACCACCACCACCCCUUCCCAGCCCCGACGAGUCACGCGUCCCAGGGUGUGAUCGUCACCCAAGCGGCGUGUCUCGCGUUACCGUGGGUCGCGGGGCACGGGGCGGGAGAGGGGUGGAGGGGGGGGGGGCACGCCGAUUCUGCCGUCACCUCCGAAGAACACUUCCACUUCUCUACAAUUCGCCUUUGUAACAAAACAAAAAAAAGCAGUCGAGAGAGAGAACGUCCGAGGGGCGACGCCUCGUUACGUGCCACCAGCGUAUACUUUCCCCGGCCGAAGGUUUAUAGCGGUGUGUGUGUGUGUUAGUUUCCUUCGUGGGGAGCGGUAGCGAACCUGGCGUCCCGACCUCGACUCCCGCUCACGGCCAACACCAAGUGAUGAUUAUCUGAACCGAUCCUGGGCCUCCCCUAGGUCGACUCAGCCUCAAGUGAGGCUCCCCUCCUGACUGCAGCCGACCGAGUGACUGUCGAGCACUCGGAAUGGCAAGGAGCUCGCCGCUUCGGGGCAAUGGGCCAGCAGGGAGCGCCUUGUGUUGGCGGCGGAUGGUGGAUGGCUGCCAUGCACAGCAUCGGCUUUGCGCGCGUGCGUGCGUGCGCUCCCACACUCGAUCGGUCGAGGGGUGGGCUCGGCUCAUUUUCAUCCAGGGUCGAUGAAAUGACGACCACUCUGUUGAAGAUUCACGAGACGUGACCUUGCAUUAUCAUCAUUUGUUCAUUCAUUGUGUUUGUUCCAUAGAGCCACCCAACGUUAAGAAACCCUCAUUCAAAAGGAAAGUGCACAAUAUAAAUGAAACGCAUACAAUAGUCAAAGUAUCUCAUUACUUCCGCGCGAUUUUGCCAGUGCUCAUCUUUAUUGGCCACCAUGUGCAAGUUGGUGGAGAUUUCACAGUUCUAUGGUGGGGAGAAGUCUAUUUAAAAAAAAAAACACCAAUGCUGACCAGUAACAAUAUCACUUGGCCAGUUAUAAUAGUUAUGACUCGAAUCCAACAGCAUACUAUUCUACAUCUGCUUGCCACAUACUAAAAAAUUGAAAACAGUUACAGCUGUACCUAAAUAAACAGAAUACAAAUAUUA